UACGAAGGGGGCUAGCGUUGUUCGGAAUUACUGGGCGUAAAGCGCGCGCAGGCGGUCUUCCAAGUCAGUGGUGAAAGCCCGGAGCUCAACUCCGGAACUGCCAUUGAAACUGUUAGACUUGAGGACGAGAGAGGUGAGUGGAAUUCCCAGUGUAGAGGUGAAAUUCGUAGAUAUUAGGAAGAACACCAGUGGCGAAGGCGGCUCACUGGUCCGGUACUGACGCUGAGGUGCGAAAGCGUGGGGAGCAAACAGG
Molecule: ribosomal RNA, 253 nt
Filed under: uncultured bacterium
Lineage: Bacteria
Description: partial 16S ribosomal RNA
Rfam family: Bacterial small subunit ribosomal RNA
Source: RNAcentral